Molecule: ribosomal RNA, 109 nt
Filed under: uncultured bacterium
Lineage: Bacteria
Description: partial 16S ribosomal RNA
Rfam family: Bacterial small subunit ribosomal RNA
Source: RNAcentral
UGAGGAAUAUUGGUCAAUGGGCGAAAGCCUGAACCAGCCAUGCCGCGUGCAGGAUGACGGCCCUAUGGGUUGUAAACUGCUUUUAUACGGGAAGAAACACCCCUACGUG